RNAcentral lists this ribosomal RNA (383 nucleotides) under uncultured eukaryote. Its description in RNAcentral is "SSU rRNA". It matches the Rfam family "Eukaryotic small subunit ribosomal RNA", at positions 587 to 972 of the family's 1831-position model. The record is from RNAcentral.
AGAUCCAAGAGCGCAUAUUAAAGUUGUUGCAGUUAAAAAAACUCGUAGUUGGAUUUCUUGCAGGAGCAACCAUUCACACACUCUGUAUGUGAAUUUGUGUUGUCUCUGGCCAUUCUGGGGAGAUCUUGUUUGGCAUUCAGUUGUCGAGCAGGGGAUACCCAUCGUUUACUGUGGAAAAAUAGAGUGUUUAAAGCAGGCUUAUGCCGUUGAAUAUAUUAGCAUGGAAUAAUAAGAUAGGACUUCGGAACUGUUUUGUUGGUUUGCGUUACGGAGUAAUGAAUAAUAGUGACAUUUGGGGGUAUUUGUAUUUCGUCGUCAGAGGUGAAAUUCUUGGAUUUCCGAAAGACGAACUACUGCGAAAUCAUUUACCAAGGAUGUUUUCA